UUUCAGAUUUCAGUCCAAAUUUGGACAUGCAGAGAAAGGUUAUCAGGUGGUAACCUCUAAAGAAACUAGUAUCUUUUGGUUUUGGCAUAUUGAAAGAGGAAGAUAUUUUACAUACAAAAUGUUAUCAGCAUUAUAGUAAUAAUAGCAGUUGCCAUUGCUAGGCAGUGCUAGGUGAGUAGCUGAGGCAGGGUUAACCCAGGCAUCUAACAGUGUUGACUUCUUGCCCACAGCAACCACUGGACCAUGGUGGAUCAGAAAAGUGAGGUGCCAGGAAAUCUGGGUUACAUCAGUGUACAGACUCAGGUGGAGAAUCUGUGCAUAGCACAGCCUUUCCUCCCCGGCACUGCAGUCCUGUACUUUUUAAACAUGCUUUAAAAUUUUUAUUUAAUAUAAAUUAAAAUAGAAUUACAUCAUUUCCCCUUUCCCUUUUCUCCAAACCUUUCCGUGUCCCUUUUCUCCAUUCUUACAUAUGUGUGUGUGUUUUAUAUAUAGAUAUACAUACACUUGUAAUGAUAAUAAACACUUUAAAAAACUCUUAUACUACUAGGCAUCUGUAUUCUCUUAAUUACUAAUCCUGAGGCUUUCUUUCUUUUGUAAAUAUGAAUUCCUCAGAAUUUGAUGAAAAUUUAUUCCUUGUCAAACUUUGUGUGUGCUGUAUUGCUCUUUUAUUUGGUAUGGACUAUUUCCAAGUAUACUGUAUUUUUCUAAAGUGUGCCAAAAAUUGAGACAGCUGAAGAAGCAGGAAGCUUGGCUUAAUCAGACUGUCCCAGAGUAUCUCUCUACCUGUCAUAUAUAUAGGAAGGCGCAUCCUUACCUGUGAGAUGGAUACUUCAAGACUAAGGGUUAGUGCUAGGAUGUAGACAAUGUAAAAUAAUUAACUUUUAGAAUUACUUUAAAAUGUUAGAAGCUGGGUAUGUUGGCUGGUGCUGCAAUAUCUAGCAGGGGGAUCAUUAGAACAAGUUCAGGGCCAGCCUGAGCUACAGAGUGACACCUGUUU
Molecule: long non-coding RNA, 997 nt
Filed under: Mus musculus (house mouse)
Lineage: Eukaryota; Metazoa; Chordata; Mammalia; Rodentia; Muridae
Description: long non-coding RNA chr2:112290215-112291212
Source: RNAcentral